UUUCCGCUUUCUCUAAAAUUUCGAACCCAGACCUCCAGACCUAGCCUCCUUCUCCAAGCUGACCUGCAUCGACUCCCGAUCUCCUUCUCCAAGCUGACCUGCGUCGACUCCCGACCUCAUUCUCCAACCUAAGCCUACUGGAGCCGCCUCCAACCUGACCCCGAGUCCCCGACCUCGCUCUUUGACCCCGAGUUCCCCUGCCUCGCUCUGACCCCGAGUCCCCGAUCUAGUUUUCCAGACCUCGAGCUUGAGCUCCGAUCUGACCUCGAGCUUAUUAGCCGACCUGAGCUUGUCAUUCUCCAACAGGAAGAUCGGGAGUUGAAGGUUUUCAAGAAGGAAGAAAGGAUAGGAGCAGGGUAUUUUGCAUGUUUUCGUUCUUCUAAAGUCUGCUAAACCCAUUGAUGGUGCUGCAAGAAAGAGGUACAAACCAAGACCCAUGAGGGCUGAAAGAGGCAAUGAGUUGCAUAAUGGGAAGUUGAUUGUGCAGAAUUGCGGAUUUCGGAGUUGGCCUGAUGGGAUUCAGUCAAUGGCUCUCUCGCUAUUUCCUUUAUCAAUAAUGUUGGGGUUGAUUGAUUUUGAUUACAGUUUGUAAUUUGAUGUUUCAACAGUCUGCUGUGGGGUUGCUUAUAAAUUUAACGCAUAGACAUCUACUUACAGUUUUAGAGAAAUUUGUUCUGCAAUUUUAAUUGGAUAGUGAGAAAUGUGAUUGGGGAAGUUCAGUUUGUUGGAUUGGGGGUGUGAGAUUAUUGUUUGAUUCGUUAAAUUAGAGGUUGUUGAAAAUUAUAUUCGGACAUCUAUUUGCCGUUAUGCAGAUUAUAUUUAUUCUCUGUUUUAUAACAAUUUUGGUGUUUAAUGGUUCUGUUUCUGAUUCUGCCAAUUAGUUUUUUGUUUUUUUCUGUGGAGGUUUUAGUUUUUAGAUUAUAUAUAGUACUUGAUUUCUUGGUUAUUGAUGUUUUGAGUUUAGCUAGAUUAUAAAGCAUGAAAUUGAUGUUUUGAUACUUUUUAUCUUUCAGAGUUAAUCUUUAUGUCAAUGAAAUACUCCAAAGCUUACCAACAUUUAGGAAUCUCAAUCAUUUGAACUUGGACCUCUAUUCAUAUUGAACUAAACGUGAAGAUGUUGAUCUGGUGCCUGAUUCCAAAUUCUAACAAGACUGAUAAGGCUUCAAUGCUGGAUGAAGCAGUUGAGUAUUUGAAGCAGCUCCAGCUUCAAGUACAGAGGGGAGAAAGGAAGAAACAGAAGAAGGGGGAGAAAGGAAGAAACAGAAGAAGGGGGAGACGGGAAGGACAGAAGAGGCAGGGAAAUCCAAAAGACGAGAAGAACUGCUCUACUUCACAGAUUCAAGGAAUCCAAAGAAAAAGGAAACUCCACAUAUCACUGUUCAUGAUUAGAAGUGGCUACUUAGCAUAGUUGCAACACAUAUCCUACGAAAGUAAGCUUCUGAGGACUAUCUUUGUUGAAAAAUUACCGGUGAAGGUGAAGAAGAAGGUCUUGAUCAGGGAGUUCAUUAAGUUUGAAGAGGUGGAGCCUGUGAGGAUUUGAUCUGAGCCGAUAGAGGAUAAAAGUAGCGGAAACUUAUAAAGAAACUCCAUAAGAAAGCUAACAGGUCAACGCUAGCAGAUCAAAGCGGCAACUUCAAUUUUGUCUGGAGCCUUAGGACUAUCACAGUGGUAAGAGCAAAGGUUCAAUGUUGUGGUCAUUGAGCUUGCAAAACCCCUCACUGCUUACUACCAAGGACUGAACCCAAUCUGGAUCAAUUUUGAGUGAUAUUGGUGGGA
This is a long non-coding RNA of Rosa chinensis, 1776 nucleotides long. RefSeq lists it as uncharacterized. Lineage: Eukaryota; Viridiplantae; Streptophyta; Magnoliopsida; Rosales; Rosaceae. The record is from RefSeq and is a predicted model, not a curated record. The transcript is spliced from 9 exons.